RNAcentral lists this ribosomal RNA (253 nucleotides) under uncultured bacterium. Its description in RNAcentral is "partial 16S ribosomal RNA". It matches the Rfam family "Bacterial small subunit ribosomal RNA", at positions 524 to 776 of the family's 1533-position model. The record is from RNAcentral.
UACUUAGGGGGCUAGCGUUGUUCGGAAUUACUGGGCGUAAAGGGCGCGUAGGCGGACAGUUUAGUCAGAGGUGAAAGCCCAGGGCUCAACCUUGGAAUUGCCUUUGAUACUGGCUGUCUUGAGUUCGGGAGAGGUGAGUGGAAUGCCGAGUGUAGAGGUGAAAUUCGUAGAUAUUCGGCGGAACACCAGUGGCGAAGGCGACUCACUGGCCCGAUACUGACGCUGAGGCGCGAAAGCGUGGGGAGCAAACAGG